Molecule: ribosomal RNA, 254 nt
Filed under: uncultured bacterium
Lineage: Bacteria
Description: partial 16S ribosomal RNA
Rfam family: Bacterial small subunit ribosomal RNA
Source: RNAcentral
UACGUAGGGUCCAAGCGUUGUCCGGAUUUAUUGGGCGUAAAGAGCUCGUAGGCGGUUCGGUAAGUCGGAUGUGAAAACUCAGGGCUCAACCCGGAGACGCCAUCCGAUACUGCUGUGACUCGAGUCUGGUAGGGGAACACGGAAUACCUGGUGUAGCGGUGAAAUGCGCAGAUAUCAGGUGGAACACCGAUGGCGAAGGCAGUGUUCUGGGCCAGUACUGACGCUGAGGAGCGAAAGCGUGGGGAGCAAACAGG